RNAcentral lists this ribosomal RNA (305 nucleotides) under uncultured bacterium. RNAcentral's name for it is "bacterial SSU rRNA". It matches the Rfam family "Bacterial small subunit ribosomal RNA", at positions 337 to 634 of the family's 1533-position model. The record is from RNAcentral.
GCCUACGGGGGGCAGCAGUGGGGAAUAUUGCGCAAUGGGCGAAAGCCUGACGCAGCGACGCCGCGUGAGGGAUGAAGGUCUUCGGAUCGUAAACCUCUGUCAGCAGGGAAGAACAGUCACUGUGCUAAUCAGCAGUGAAUUGACGGUACCCGCAAAGGAAGCACCGGCUAACUCCGUGCCAGCAGCCGCGGUAAUACGGAGGGUGCGAGCGUUAAUCGGAAUUACUGGGCGUAAAGCGCUCGUAGGCGAUAUGUCAAGUCAAGGGUGAAAUCCCCGCGCUCAACGUGGGAACUGCCUUUGAAACU